AUAGAAGACUAUAUAUUGAAUGGAUUUUUGGAACAGGGAGAUGGAAUAGGAGCUUGCUCCAUUGACUCCACUCAUUGACCUGGUAUUGCAGUACCUCCAGGAACGGUGCACCUCCC
Molecule: small nuclear RNA, 116 nt
Filed under: Chelydra serpentina (North American snapping turtle)
Lineage: Eukaryota; Metazoa; Chordata; Testudines; Chelydridae
Description: U2 spliceosomal RNA (ENSCSRG00000020789.1)
Rfam family: U2 spliceosomal RNA
About the family: U2 is a small nuclear RNA (snRNA) component of the spliceosome (involved in pre-mRNA splicing). Complementary binding between U2 snRNA (in an area lying towards the 5' end but 3' to hairpin I) and the branchpoint sequence (BPS) of the intron results the bulging out of an unpaired adenosine, on the BPS, which initiates a nucleophilic attack at the intronic 5' splice site, thus starting the first of two transesterification reactions that mediate splicing.
Source: Rfam by way of RNAcentral